Molecule: ribosomal RNA, 417 nt
Filed under: uncultured bacterium
Lineage: Bacteria
Description: bacterial SSU rRNA
Rfam family: Bacterial small subunit ribosomal RNA
Source: RNAcentral
AUUGAACGCUGGCGGCAUGCCUUACACAUGCAAGUCGAACGGCAGCGCGUCCUUCGGGAUGGCGGCGAGUGGCGAACGGGUGAGUAAUACAUCGGAACGUACCCUGAAGUGGGGGAGUAACGUAGCGAAGUUACGCUAAUACCGCAUAUUCUGUGAGCAGGAAAGAGGGGGAGUCGCAAGACCUCUUGCUUUAGGAGCGGCCGAUGUCGGAUUAGCUAGUUGGUGAGGUAAAGGCUCACCAAGGCGACGAUCCGUAGCGGGUCUGAGAGGAUGAUCCGCCACACUGGGACUGAGACACGGCCCAGACUCCUACGGGAGGCAGCAGUGGGGAAUUUUGGACAAUGGGCGCAAGCCUGAUCCAGCCAUGCCGCGUGAGUGAUGAAGGCCUUCGGGUCGUAAACUCUGUCGGGAGGGACG